AUGAUGGGAAUUUAAACCUCUUCCAGAGUAUCAAUUGGAGGGCAAGUCUGGUGCCAGCAGCCGCGGUAAUUCCAGCUCCAAUAGCGUAUAUUAAAAUUGUUGCAGUUAAAAAGCUCGUAGUUGAAUUUCUGCUGCAUUGCUUGUGUCCCUCUGGGGUCUGUGCAUGUGGCUUUUUUCGGACGGAGUUUCUUUGUCUGAAUGUUUACUUUGAGAAAAUUAGAGUGCUCAAAGCAGGCUUUCGCCUUGAAUAGUUUAGCAUGGAAUAAUAAAGUAGGACUUUGGUUCUAUUUUGUUGGUUUUAGGUACCAAAGUAAUGGUUAAUAGGAACAGUUGGGGGCAUUCGUAUUUAACUGUCAGAGGUGAAAUUCUUAG
RNAcentral lists this ribosomal RNA (372 nucleotides) under Theileria annulata. RNAcentral describes it as "SSU rRNA". It matches the Rfam family "Eukaryotic small subunit ribosomal RNA", at positions 514 to 923 of the family's 1831-position model. The record is from RNAcentral. Lineage: Eukaryota; Apicomplexa; Aconoidasida; Piroplasmida; Theileriidae.